Long non-coding RNA from Eriocheir sinensis (Chinese mitten crab), 1097 nucleotides. RefSeq lists it as uncharacterized. The transcript has 4 exons. Lineage: Eukaryota; Metazoa; Arthropoda; Malacostraca; Decapoda; Varunidae. The record is from RefSeq and is a predicted model, not a curated record.
AGAGAGAGAUAUCCAGCCUCUGUGACCCCCGAACUCUGUGACCUGUCUUGUCCUGUAUCGAUUCUCUUGCUGUCUGGGGUCGUCCUGGCCUGCACCUGACCUAUGUGUCCUGCGGGGCCUGCCAGGGGACGGAUUAUGACCUUUUCCUCGUUUUUCUCCCCCUAGGAUUCAGUCUUGGGGGUUAAGUUGAUGUCUUCCUCGAAUUUCCCCUCAAAGUUAUGACCGAGGCCUUUUAUAACCUAUUGUACUGUUCCUUGGAGGUUAUUUUGUGUUUCCAGGUGUAAUUCUUAAGCCCAGAUGUAUUUUUUUAUCAUUUAAUCUCUAGUUUCAUCUCCAUUACCCUUUAUAUGAUGUCCAGUGCCGUAUCUCUCCUAUUUCACUGUUCCUUGGAGGUUAUUUUGUGUUUCCAGGUGUAAUUAUGAAGCCCAGGUGUCAUUUCUAUCAUCUAGUCUCUAGUUUCAUCUCUAUUACCCUUUUUGUUAUGUCCAGUGCCGUAUCUCUCCUAUUUCACUGUUCUGGGGAGGUUAUGUUGUGUUUCCAGGUGUAAUUCUUAAGCCCAGGUGGCAUUUUUUAAUAAUUUUAUCACUAAUUUCAUCUCUAUACCUUCUAUGAGCCUGUUUUUGUACUGUCCAGGGCACUUUUCUUAACCCAUUUUGCUGUCUGUGGAAGGGUAUGGAGGGUAUGCAGGUGUAAUUCCUUAGCCCAGGUGUAACUUUCAACUUUAAAUCUCCCUCUCAUCUCUUUCCUCUACCAUCCUGUUUUUAUAAUGUCCAGGGCACUUUUCUUAACCCAUUUUGCUGUCUCUGGAAGGGUAUGGAGGGUAUGCAGGUGUAAUUCCUUAGCCCAGGUGUAACUUUCAACUUUAAGUCUCUUCCUUUCAUCUCUUUCCUCUACCAUCCUGUUUUUGUAAUGUCCAGGGCACUUUUCUUAACCCAUUUUGCUGUCUGUGGAAGGGUAUGGAGGGUAUGCAGGUGUAAUUCCUUAGCCCAGGUGUAACUUUCAACUUUGUCUCUUCCUCUCAUCUCUUUCCUCUACCAUCCUGUUUUUAUAAUGUCCAGGGCACUUUUCUUAACCCAUUUUGCUGUCUGGAAGGUUAU